AAAUCCGGCAAUCGACCUGAGGACUUGCGUGCCGCUCAGCUCCCGGGACGUUUGGAGCUGCUGCUAAAUAAUUUCUGCUCAGCCAUGUCGCCGGCUCCAGAUGCAGCCCCGGCUCCUGCGUCGAUCUCCCUGUUUGACCUCAGCGCGGAUGCUCCGGUGUUUCAGGGCCUGAGCCUGGUGAGCCACGCGCCUGGGGAGGCUCUGGCCCGGGCUCCGCGUACUUCCUGUUCAGGCUCAGGGGAGAGAGAAAGCCCAGAAAGAAAGCUACUCCAGGGUCCUAUGGAUAUUUCAGAGAAGUUAUUUUGUUCAACUUGUGACCAGACCUUCCAGAACCACCAAGAACAGAGGGAACAUUAUAAGCUUGACUGGCAUCGGUUUAACCUAAAGCAACGUCUCAAGGACAAGCCUCUCCUGUCUGCCCUGGACUUUGAAAAGCAGAGUUCCACAGGAGAUCUUUCCAGCAUCUCGGGAUCAGAAGACUCAGACUCAGCCAGUGAGGAGGACUUGCAGACACUGGAUCGGGAGAGGGCUACAUUUGAGAAGUUGAGCCGACCCCCAGGCUUUUACCCUCAUCGAGUUCUUUUCCAGAAUGCCCAGGGCCAGUUUCUUUAUGCCUACCGCUGUGUCCUAGGCCCUCAUCAGGCAAGUGACAGUACAGGUUGCAUGGCUAACCCCAGCCUUUUGUACACCCAGCCUAGAUUUCCCUUAGCCUAGUGCAUUUCUCCCUGCUUCUCUUCCUUCCUGUUGGUUGUGGGUAUCACGCUUGACAACAUAGUCUUGAAUUGAAACUGGCCUGAAUUGUGGAAGGGUUAAGUGUAAUGGAAUUAAGUUUGGAAACAAACCAAUUUAGGUUUGAAUUGUGAUUCUACCACUUCAUCUUGACUGCCUCGCCAAGCCUCAAAUUUCCUUGUCAAAUGGAAACAAGCCUCAGGGUGGUAAUAUUAAAUGAGAUAAUGUUUGUGAAAAUUGGCCCUUAGUUUCUUGCUCUC
Molecule: small RNA, 989 nt
Filed under: Pan troglodytes (chimpanzee)
Lineage: Eukaryota; Metazoa; Chordata; Mammalia; Primates; Hominidae
Description: retained intron
Source: RNAcentral